This 265-nucleotide ribosomal RNA is filed under the name uncultured bacterium. RNAcentral describes it as "partial 16S ribosomal RNA". It matches the Rfam family "Bacterial small subunit ribosomal RNA", at positions 793 to 1055 of the family's 1533-position model. The record is from RNAcentral.
GUCCACGCCGUAAACGAUGUUCACUAGGUGCUGCGGGUAUUGACCCCUGCGGUGCCGGAGCUAACGCGUUAAGUGAACCGCCUGGGGAGUACGGCCGCAAGGUUAAAAACUCAAAGGAAUUGACGGGGCCCGCACAAGCGGUGGAGUAUGUGGUUUAAUUCGACGCAACGCGAAGAACCUUAACCUGGGUUUGACAUCUGGGGAAUCCGCCAGAGACGGUGGAGUGCCUUCGGGAGCCCCAAGACAGGUGCUGCAUGGCUGUCGU